Small nuclear RNA from Vulpes vulpes (red fox), 104 nucleotides. The record is from Ensembl. Lineage: Eukaryota; Metazoa; Chordata; Mammalia; Carnivora; Canidae.
CUGCUCGCUUUGGCAGCACACAUACUAAAAUCGGAACAAUACAGAGGUUAGCAUGACCCCUGUGCAAGGAUGAUAGGCAAACUUGUGAAGCAUUCUGUAUUUUU